AUUUUCUGCCACCGAAUACAUUAGCAUGGGAUAAUGGAAUAGGACCCUGUCCUCCUAUUUUCAGUUGGUUUUGGCAGCGCGAGGACUAGGGUAAUGAUUAAUAGGGAUAGUUGGGGGCAUUAAUAUUUAAUUGUCAGAGGUGAAAUUCUUGGAUUUAUGAAAGAUUAACUUCUGCGAAAGCAUCUGCCAAGGAUGUUUUCAUUAAUCAAGAACGAAAGUUAGGGGAUCGAAGACGAUCAGAUACCGUCGUAGUCUUAACCAUAAACGAUGCCGACCAGCGAUUAGGAGACGUUGAAUACAAAACACCACCAUCGGCGCGGUCGUCCUUGGCGUUCGUGUUCACGCACGAGCGCGAGGGCGGYUUAGCCCGRUGGCACCGGUGAAUGACUCCCCUAGC
Molecule: ribosomal RNA, 397 nt
Filed under: Acanthamoeba genotype T4
Lineage: Eukaryota; Discosea; Longamoebia; Acanthamoebidae
Description: SSU rRNA
Rfam family: Eukaryotic small subunit ribosomal RNA
Source: RNAcentral